RNAcentral lists this long non-coding RNA (218 nucleotides) under Homo sapiens (human). RNAcentral's name for it is "HSALNT0336322". Lineage: Eukaryota; Metazoa; Chordata; Mammalia; Primates; Hominidae. The record is from RNAcentral.
AGAACAGUAACAACCUGGAGCUUUAAGCAGUCCCACACGGUUAUGGAAACAAAAAUUCCAAUUAAGAGCUAUCAAAGCAGGCAAAUCCUGGAGAACAAAGGAGCCACAGAGAACAGCCUGAACUAAGACAAAUGUCAUCUACACGCCAAGAAAAGAUGCCUCAGAAGAAACCUGCUGGCACCUUAACAUCAGACUUCCAGCUUCUAGAACUGUAAAAA